RNAcentral lists this ribosomal RNA (248 nucleotides) under Clostridioides difficile. RNAcentral describes it as "partial 23S ribosomal RNA". It matches the Rfam family "Bacterial large subunit ribosomal RNA", at positions 398 to 648 of the family's 2925-position model. Lineage: Bacteria; Bacillati; Bacillota; Clostridia; Peptostreptococcales; Peptostreptococcaceae. The record is from RNAcentral.
AGAUAUGAUCCAGAGUACCACGGGACACGUGAAACCCUGUGGGAAGCAGGAGGGACCACCCUCCAAGGCUAAAUACUACCUAGUGACCGAUAGCGUAUAGUACCGUGAGGGAAAGGUGAACAGAACCCCGGGAGGGGAGUGAAAUAGAACCUGAAACUCUGCACUUACAAGCUGUGGAAGCACAUUUCUUGUGUGACCGCGUACUUUUUGUAGAACGGGCCAACGAGUUACGUUAAGUAGCAAGGUUA